UGUGCCUGCAACAUUAAGACAAAUAUUUGACCUAUUUUCUUAGUAGAAUUUAGCUGUCAUCGUUCUUAGCACCACGCUCCUGUGAGCCAGCAACUGCCUAAGGACUCAGACAACAUGAGCACAGAAUUCUCCGCCGAGAGUGAUAGCACUUAGUCCCACAGGGCGACUUUCUUCCAGCGACAGAGCGAUCGGCCCCUCGAACCCACCCCCCUCAGCCGGCUCCGUCUCGCCUCCGUCCUGGCAACCCCCCAGCCCGUCCGCGCCAGGGACUCACGUUUGUAGCUGGCGGCCCAGGGCUGGUAGCCGUAGUAGCCGGUGAUGCGGAGGAUGCGCUCCUCGAUGGAGGUGAGCCCCACGGACGCGCUGGUGAGGUCCUCCACGGAGCGGGACCACUUCAAGUCCUCUUUGAUGGCCUCGUCCACCACCAGGUACUUGAGCUGCCGCAGCUGCGGGCUGAUAUCGGACAGCCGCCGGGGGCUGACAUCGGGGGAGCGUCGCAUGCCGCUGCGGGUCGGAAGCGGGGCGUCAGCCCGGGGCCGCGGCUCCGGUGCCGCCGGUCCCCGCCGACCCCGGGCGAAGUUGGCGGCGGGCGGCGGGACCCCCGCCGGCAGUAGCUUGCCAGAUGUUUCUCUGGGAUGGAAGUUUACAUUUAUCAAAAUACGACUCACUUCAUGAGGAAGGAAGGUGCAGCAGAGAAAACACGUGAUGAACUCUUCCACAGCCUCUAUUCUCUGUCCCUCUGUGCUGCUCAUGAGGAAGGAGGUAGAGAAAAUCGGGAGUAAAGUUAAGACUAGGAAUAAGGCAGUGGUGAGGAUCUGUGCAAUGAAAUUAGGAAGAACAAAGGAAACCAUAAUGCUUUACACAGCAUAAGCCAUGACACUACAGAUCCACCUUUUUGGUAUUUGAACCCAAGUACAUAACAACUGAAAACUUAUGAAGACUGAAGACCGGUUGAAAACUGAUAUGAAGGCUGAAGCCUACAGUAUCUAUCUGUUUCUUCACAUGAUUUGAGUAUGUUCCAAGACUUUGGAUUUUCCAGCUUCAGCAUCUUUUGUGUUGGAGUCCAUAAAAUAGGCUGAAGAACUGUAUUUGUUCUCAGCAGUUUUGUUGAACUGGAAUACAUGUGAAAGUUUCUUAUCUCCUAAAACAAAGGUAAUGUAGAAGGUGUAUGUUAUUUUUCUGUAUGUAAGAAACAUCACUAUACCUAUAUUUUGAUAAUAAAAUAAGGUGGGCAAGUGGAGGGACACAUUCUCAAUGACUAUUCAAAGUAUGGUAUUCAUACUGAUAUGAAUAGAAACCUUAAGUACCAGUGAAAUCCUGGGAAAUAGACAGGUUUCUUCCUGAGAAAAUAAUCGAUUUUCAUUUGAAGAUCUUACUGGCUCUUACUAGUGUUCUUAAGAGUAUUUAAGUAUUUAUUGUUCAAUAUACAUGAUCUCUAUGUUAUCUGUCAACUUCUCCUUGAGGCUUGAAAUAAAACCAAUGCUUUCAGCAUUUCUUUUCUACAGGUCCAUUUGCAACUUUGUGAAAAGUUAUGGUGUGUUUUUUUUCUCUCAAGACUAUCCCAGCUGAGUUUUGGGUCAAGCAGACUCUUUGGAAGGGUAUCCCAGCUGCUUUUCAAAUAGUGAACAUCCCAGCCCACUUUCUCCUGAAAUCUGUUAGGAUCUAGCUUUGAAUCUGGCUCUAACUGAAUACUCAUCAGCCUCUGAGGGAGUAGUAAGCUAACCUAUUCCAUCUCUUUUAUGGUAUUAGAAAGCAAAACGCCGGAGUUUUUCAGCUGUGAAGAAAAGCAGUUCCAAAGUAUACGGUCAGGUCAAGGGUUUCAAACUGCCAACAUCACAUGCAAAAUAAAGGACUAUGUUGCCUUUCUAUUAAUGGUGUCAUUUUAAUGUAACUCUUCCUUAUCACGAGUUUUUUCAUGAAAACAGCCAUUUAUUCAAAUAGCAUUAUCUGAGGGAGGAUGAAGUUAAAGAGUUGUGACAGAGUGAAGUAAAAAAAAAAUUUAGAAGUCACAUUAUCAAAAGGAGUCUUCUCUGACUCAUUCAGU
Pipra filicauda (Wire-tailed manakin) is the source of this 2044-nucleotide long non-coding RNA. RefSeq lists it as uncharacterized. The record is from RefSeq and is a predicted model, not a curated record. The transcript is spliced from 5 exons. Lineage: Eukaryota; Metazoa; Chordata; Aves; Passeriformes; Pipridae.